Molecule: ribosomal RNA, 460 nt
Filed under: uncultured bacterium
Lineage: Bacteria
Description: SSU rRNA
Rfam family: Bacterial small subunit ribosomal RNA
Source: RNAcentral
AGAAUCAACGCUGGCGGCGUGCCUAACACAUGCAAGUCGAUCGAGAAAGUGGAGCAAUCCAUGAGUAAAGAGGCGCACGGGUGAGUAACACGUGACUAACCUACCCUCGAGUGGGGAAUAACCUGGGGAAACCCGGGCUAAUACCGCAUAAUACCCACGGGUCAAAGGAGCAAUUCGCUUGGGGAGGGGGUCGCGGCAGAUUAGUUAGUUGGCGGGGUAAUGGCCCACCAAGACGAUGAUCUGUAUCCGGCCUGAGAGGGCGCACGGACACACUGGAACUGAAACACGGUCCAGACUCCUACGGGAGGCAGCAGUGGGAAUUUUGCGCAAUGGGGGAAACCCUGACGCAGCAACGCCGCGUGGAGGAUGAAGUCCCUUGGGACGUAAACUCCUUUCGACCGGGACGAUAAUGGACGGUACCGGAUGAAGAAGCCCCGGCUAACUUCGCGCCAGCAGCCGC